This 980-nucleotide ribosomal RNA is filed under the name Arthrobacter pascens. RNAcentral describes it as "bacterial SSU rRNA". It matches the Rfam family "Bacterial small subunit ribosomal RNA", at positions 463 to 1437 of the family's 1533-position model. The record is from RNAcentral. Lineage: Bacteria; Bacillati; Actinomycetota; Actinomycetes; Micrococcales; Micrococcaceae.
GCAAAGGUGACGGUACCUGCAGAAGAAGCGCGGCUAACUACGUGCCAGCAGCCGCGGUAAUACCGUAGGGCGCAAGCGUUAUCCGGGAAUUAUUGGGCGUAAAGAGCUCGUAGGCGGUUUGUCGCGUCUGCCGUGAAAGUCCGGGGCUCAACUCCGGGAUCUGCGGUGGGUACGGGCAGACUAGAGUGAUGUAGGGGAGACUGGAAUUCCUGGUGUAGCGGUGAAAUGCGCAGAUAUCAGGAGGAACACCGAUGGCGAAGGCAGGUCUCUGGGCAUUAACUGACGCUGAGGAGCGAAAGCAUGGGGAGCGAACAGGAUUAGAUACCCUGGUAGUCCAUGCCGUAAACGUUGGGCACUAGGUGUGGGGGACAUUCCACGUUUUCCGCGCCGUAGCUAACGCAUUAAGUGCCCCGCCUGGGGAGUACGGCCGCAAGGCUAAAACUCAAAGGAAUUGACGGGGGCCCGCACAAGCGGCGGAGCAUGCGGAUUAAUUCGAUGCAACGCGAAGAACCUUACCAAGGCUUGACAUGAACCGGACCGCUGCAGAAAUGUGGUUUCCCCUUUGGGGCUGGUUUACAGGUGGUGCAUGGUUGUCGUCAGCUCGUGUCGUGAGAUGUUGGGUUAAGUCCCGCAACGAGCGCAACCCUCGUUCUAUGUUGCCAGCACGUGAUGGUGGGGACUCAUAGGAGACUGCCGGGGUCAACUCGGAGGAAGGUGGGGACGACGUCAAAUCAUCAUGCCCCUUAUGUCUUGGGCUUCACGCAUGCUACAAUGGCCGGUACAAAGGGUUGCGAUACUGUGAGGUGGAGCUAAUCCCAAAAAGCCGGUCUCAGUUCGGAUUGGGGUCUGCAACUCGACCCCAUGAAGUCGGAGUCGCUAGUAAUCGCAGAUCAGCAACGCUGCGGUGAAUACGUUCCCGGGCCUUGUACACACCGCCCGUCAAGUCACGAAAGUUGGUAACACCCGAAGUCUCGGUGGCC